CUUAUUAGUUUGGUUUAAAAGCGUGGUUAAUGCGCAGUUGUGGAGCAGAAGUGCGCCGUUUGUCUUUCUCUUUCUCUUCUCUGUGGAAGAAAGUGGACUUCGCCUGAGAGCUGAACUAGGUGGGGCCGCUAAUCAGACACACUCCGAGCAGGACACUGCGUGAAAGAAAGACAAGCUGCUGCGUGAAAGAAAGACAAGCUGCUUUGAACACCACCACGCCUGGAAGACUUCAUAUCUUCACACACAAGGCGUCUGACGGGUUGGAGUGCGACGUGACGUCACGACCCCGCGCUCGGCCCCGCCCCUCCCCGCCGAAGCGCCCUGUCUGCUAUUGGAUGGAAAUUAGGGCUCCAUACAAAAGCGCACUAACGGUACCAGGCUCUUCAGAAAAUGAAUUCAUGGUCAUUAACCAGAGGAAACCAGAGAACCCAGAGGAAACACACAAGGACAUGGGGAGCGUACGCACAACUCCACCACCCGAGUUAAGGAGCUCAGGCCCCUGGAGCUGCACCUCUAAAAUAAUAAUAAUAAUAAUAAUAAUAAUAAUAAUUUCGAGCUUUCACUUCAAAAUUGUAAAAUGUAUUCUUACGGCAGUAGUGAAUUGCUGUGUAUACACCCUGCCUCAGAUCAUGAGGCUUAAUUAAUAUCAUGGAUUUAUGCUACAAAAGAGUCAUUUUGAUGCCAAAUACACAAAACAAGGAAUCCUGAAAACGUAAGUUAUUUAAACUCCUCAAGUAGGCAGUAAUUAACCCUUAGGACACAAAGUUAUAAUGAAGAUUUGCUUUAAUCACAUUUCCAUGAUAUCAGUGCUCAAUAUAAUAAUAACACAUAAACCAAACUCUUCCCACAUUGCUGGCAGUGAAAGCAGUGCCUCCUAAACCUCAGUAUAACCCCUUCUUAUUUAUUAUAUGAUCUUUUCUGAAUACAGUCUGAUAGAAAGGAAACUGUGAUUUUUUUUUUACAUAAUUUAAAAAGUAACCUAAUGACAGUUUAAAGGAAUUCUCCAGGGUUUCUUUUACCCAUAUGUCUAUCUACCAUAUGUUUAGUGUUACAUGCAGAAAAAUUAACACAUGUCCCUGUACCCUGUAAAAAGAUCAGAAAUCUCAUUUAUACGAAUUAAUGGAAGUCUAAGUGCAGUCGUUAGAGUAAUCAGUCAAGUUAAUCCAAAAAUAGACAGUUGUAAUUCUGUUUUUGCAUAUCUUAAAUAUUUAUUAAAUGAAUUUAACACUUGCCCCUAGCCUACUCUUGAAGCAAGUUUCAAUUAAACAGGACUCUCACUGUAUUCUCACUACAGGGAAAUAUGUGAGAGACAAUGUGCCAGAAUGCUACAGAUGCAGUGGAUAAUGAGAUAAUGUUAAAGAAUACCGUACCAUACAAUGGUACUGUAUAGUGUUUCUCAACCCCAGGCCAGGGAACUAACUUCCCUGCACAGUUUCAAGACCUCAUAAGUCCCAACACACCUAAUCCAGCUCAUCAGCUCAUCUAAUUACUAAGCCCUUCAUGAGUUGGGUAAGACAUGCAUCUUGGAAGUUAGGAAACCUUAAAUCUGUGAAGGACCUGGGUUGAGAAACCCUGCUUUAAAAAUGACAUCUAACUUACAGCAAUCCAUAAAACAAUAACUACUACAAAACAUCAUUUCAAGCAGGCCAUUUUUUGCUGCAUGUUUUCUGUGUGAAUGGUCUCCUGUUCUCUGCUGAUUGCAUUACUCAUCUCUUACAGGCUUAGAAGAAAACGAGUGAAGAAAUCAAACAGCUCAUUGAGAGGGUCUGCAAGCAGUCCGGAAUGCCAAAUAUGCUCUCUAGCAUCAGGAAUGUGAGUUUGCUCCAUGCUGUAGGCCACCAUCCCUCACAGCUCUCAGCAUUCAUGUGGCACUCAGCUGUGCACACUCAGAUGUAUGGGAGUAUUGGUGUAAGUUACACCAAUGCAUUUUUCUGCUAUUCCACUGAGUAAAAGUUUUAAUCACUGAGUUAUAGCUACACUAACCAUGGCACAGUGCUAUUUAACUGCCAGUUGAUGUUUAUCAUAAAACUCACAUAACCUGUGAAUAUAUAUAUCACACAACCACAAACUUAUGAAUUAUUAAGAUUGCUGAUUUAACUGAUUUUCAUUUCUUCUGGAAUUAGUAUAUAUUACUUUGUGCAAAGACAGCUCUGGCCAUCCAGUUAUCAUCACCAUAUAAUCACUUAUCCAUGACAGCAAAGUUAACAGAGUAUAUUGACAAGAGAUGAUUGAGAUCAUUGACAAGAUGAUUCCACAUAAAAAUGCUACGUACAGCCAGCCCCAAGGACAACCAGGGAAGCUGCCCCGGGCCCAGGAGGGUUUAGUAGUCCACUUACAUGCAGAAUAGGACUAUCUGAAAUAUGUCUGUUUGAUAAAGCUAUGUCUUGUGCAUUUUUUGCAACUCGUCAAGGUUAAUACUUCCCAUAUCUUGUAAAAUGGUUUGAUCUGCUGUGUUUUCCAUGGCAAAAAUCUUACAUACCUGCUGAAUGUAUGAUUUGUGGCUAAUUACAGACAUAAAAACUGCAGCUUUUGUUUAAAAAAUUAAAAGAACCAAUCGAUUUCCUUUUGGUUACUGACUUUAAGAUUAGAGCUAGGUUUAGGUGUAGGCAUAGCAUUAAUUAGCCACAUUAAUGUCAAAGGAAGUUCCUCACAAGGAUAGCAAGUGUGUAGGGGCCUUCUUAAGUGGAUCGUCCCGUGCCUGAGCAAUAUCCAUGGUGGGCCUGUGUACUGCUCUCAAAAAGACCUCUGCAUUCAUAGCAAAGACAUAACAUUGUGUUUAAAGGCGUUAUGUUGGAUAAGACCUUCAUGAUUUAUCCGGAGCCCUUCACCAGAAACUAUUUUCAAUAUUGCACUCUGUACAUACAUGCAUAUGUACAUGUGUAUUAGUUAGGAGUGAUUACUGUCAUGCUGCCUGAGGCCUGUGACACACUUCUAUGUCCCAAUCCAGGAAAGCUACAGUAUUUCUGCUGAUCAGAUAGAGCCUACAGGAACUCCCGUGUGUGAGAGCAGCUGGAAAGUCAUGGGCUAUUCUUAGCUACGUUUUCCUGCCUGGGUGGGGUUUCACAGUUUCUUCACGACGAUUGCGCACCAGCAAUUGUUUCCCCACACAAGAUUUCACAUGGGGUCAACAAAACCAAAAAAGAGCACAGUAUGUGGAGUAAUCCAGGAAGUCAGGGACCUUCUCACCUCACCCACAACAUACCCACACACACAAACAAGAACGACAGAGGCAGAGAUGCCAGCGAUCCCGACCGCUUCUGCUCUCCGGACCUACCUGAUCCAGACUGAUGCUUUACUUCUGGUUGGAGUUCUAAUGUCAUGGAAAUCACUCGCUGCUGCUGAGGAUGGCCCACAUGGACACGCUAAACUGUGGUAGAAACCAUUAAAAAAUUGCUUUGGACUGCAAUUGAUACAAACGGUUUUGCUCUCAAGUCUCCGUCAGUGAACAGCUAAUGACUUCAACAAAAUGGACUUUAUGUGAAAACUAUGAUGAAUUUCCUGGUUACAUAAUCACACUUUUGACCAUGUAGUACACAGUUAUACAAGGGAAUUAUUCAUAAUCGCACUAUCCGGUGUCACCCAGAUGAGGAUGGCUUCCCUUCUGAGUCUGGUUUCUCUCAAUGUUUCUUCCUCAUGUCAUCUCUUUGCCACUGUCACCUCUGUCUUGCUCAUUAGGGUUAAAUGUAUAAAUGUAUAAAUUCAAAAUUUAUAUUUCUGUAAAGCUGUUUUGACAAUGGCCAUCGUUAA
This is a long non-coding RNA of Pangasianodon hypophthalmus (striped catfish), 3747 nucleotides long. RefSeq lists it as uncharacterized. The record is from RefSeq and is a predicted model, not a curated record. Lineage: Eukaryota; Metazoa; Chordata; Actinopteri; Siluriformes; Pangasiidae. The transcript has 5 exons.